GACGCAAUAGUUCAUUUCCUCCCGCCCUUGGCGAAGCCUCUGGCUGGGGGAGCGCAAGCUGCGGGCCGCUAACGGGCCCCCGGGGCGGCUGUCCUGCAGGGAGAGCCUCGCCGCCCGCCGCCAGGCCUGGGGUGGCUGCAAUUCCCGGCAGGAGGUGGCCGAGGUAGUACAGUCCGGCUCCAGGCUGGAUCCGAGUCACUGUUUCCCACAGCUGGGCAGGAUGGAAGUGGAAACACAUCCAUUUGCCAGCUGUGCUUCCAGAAGGCACAGCAACAGUUAAGUUGCCUUCAGCAAGAGGGGACAACAGCUACUGGCCCAGUUGUUUCUGUUUGGAACAGUCACAAGGUUGCCAGUCGACAUCUUCCUCACGGAAAUACAGCGGAGCUACUGCACAACUUUGUGUGUUGCUAAACCAGCCAGAGUUCAGCCAGCAGUAUAUUUAAAGGCUACUUCUUUACUGGGAAUAGAGAAUAGUGGUGUUAGCACCCAUUUGUCUUUUGAAAACCUGCAUGUUCUCUUGUAGUGGGAUGGAAGCUCUUUGGAGAGAAUAAAACUUCUGCUACAAUUC
Molecule: long non-coding RNA, 568 nt
Organism: Chelonia mydas (Green sea turtle)
Lineage: Eukaryota; Metazoa; Chordata; Testudines; Cheloniidae
Exons: 3
Source: RefSeq, a predicted model, not a curated record